RNAcentral lists this ribosomal RNA (525 nucleotides) under Cyclospora cayetanensis. RNAcentral's name for it is "partial 18S ribosomal RNA". The record is from RNAcentral. Lineage: Eukaryota; Apicomplexa; Conoidasida; Eucoccidiorida; Eimeriidae.
ACAUAGAUGGCCGAUAGCAGAAAAAAAAAGCAACGUAGUUGGGAUUGUCUUUUGUCGUGGCUCAUCCGGCCUUGCCCGUGAGGGUGUGCGCCCUGGGUGUGCCCGCGGCUUUCUUCCGGUAGCCUUCCGCGCAUUCGCUGCGUGCGUAGGUGUUCCGGAACUUUUACUUUGAGAAAAAGUAGAGUGUUCUCAAGCAGGCUUGUUCGCCCNGAAAUACUGCAGCAUGGCAAUAAUAAGAUAGGACCUUGGAUUCUAUUUUGUUGGUUUCUAGGACCGAGGGUAAAUUGAUUAAUAGGGACAGGUUGGGGGGCAGUUCGAUAGUCGAACGUGAUCAGAAGGUUGCAAAUCCCUUAAGAAGUCCGGUUCAACAGACCAAACCUACUGGCACAAAGCAGUUCGCCAAGGGAAUGUUUUUCAGUAACUUCACGAACGACAGUAGGGGGGUUUGAAGGACGAUACGAUACCGUGUAUCUUCUACCUAACUAUNCNACUAGACAUNGGAACCCUNCNGGACUCUAAACAGAA